This 497-nucleotide ribosomal RNA is filed under the name uncultured bacterium. RNAcentral describes it as "partial 16S ribosomal RNA". It matches the Rfam family "Bacterial small subunit ribosomal RNA", at positions 28 to 507 of the family's 1533-position model. The record is from RNAcentral.
GAUGAACGCUGGCGGCGUGCCUAAUACAUGCAAGUCGAGCGAACAGACGAGGAGCUUGCUCCUCUGACGUUAGCGGCGGACGGGUGAGUAACACGUGGAUAACCUACCUAUAAGACUGGGAUAACUUCGGGAAACCGGAGCUAAUACCGUAUAAUAUAUUGAACCGCAUGGUUCAAUAGUGAAAGACGGUUUUGCUGUCACUUAUAGAUGGAUCCGCGCCGCAUUAGCUAGUUGGUAAGGUAACGGCUUACCAAGGCAACGAUGCGUAGCCGACCUGAGAGGGUGAUCGGCCACACUGGAACUGAGACACGGUCCAGACUCCUACGGGAGGCAGCAGUAGGGAAUCUUCCGCAAUGGGCGAAAGCCUGACGGAGCAACGCCGCGUGAGUGAUGAAGGUCUUCGGAUCGUAAAACUCUGUUAUUAGGGAAGAACAAAUGUAUAAGUAACUAUGCACGUCUUGACGGUACCUAAUCAGAAAGCCACGGCUAACUACGUG